UACGUAGGGUGCAAGCGUUAAUCGGAAUUACUGGGCGUAAAGCGUGCGCAGGCGGCUUUGCAAGACAGAUGUGAAAUCCCCGGGCUUAACCUGGGAACUGCAUUUGUGACUGCAUGGCUGGAGUGCGGCAGAGGGGGAUGGAAUUCCGCGUGUAGCAGUGAAAUGCGUAGAUAUCUGGAGGAACACCGGUGGCGAAGGCGGCAUCCUGGACCGAGAUUGACGCUGAUGCGCGAAAGCCAGGGGAGCAAACGGG
This 253-nucleotide ribosomal RNA is filed under the name uncultured bacterium. Its description in RNAcentral is "partial 16S ribosomal RNA". It matches the Rfam family "Bacterial small subunit ribosomal RNA", at positions 524 to 776 of the family's 1533-position model. The record is from RNAcentral.